UUCCUGACUUAUACGCUUACCU
Molecule: microRNA, 22 nt
Filed under: Aedes
Lineage: Eukaryota; Metazoa; Arthropoda; Insecta; Diptera; Culicidae
Also listed under: 1 other name
Description: A. albopictus aal-mirtron-11893-2-5p mature miRNA (LOC109400981)
Source: RNAcentral